CCUACGGGUGGCAGCAGUGGGGAAUAUUGGACAAUGGGGGCAACCCUGAUCCAGCCAUGCCGCGUGUGUGAAGAAGGCCCUCGGGUUGUAAAGCACUUUCAGUGAGGAAGAACGCCUGGUGGUGAAUACCCAUCAGGAAAGACAUCACUCACAGAAGAAGCACCGGCUAACUCCGUGCCAGCAGCCGCGGUAAUACGGAGGGUGCGAGCGUUAAUCGGAAUUACUGGGCGUAAAGCGCGCGUAGGUGGCUUGAUAAGCCGGUUGUGAAAGCCCCGGGCUCAACCUGGGAACGGCAUCCGGAACUGUCAAGCUAGAGUGCAGGAGAGGAAGGUAGAAUUCCCGGUGUAGCGGUGAAAUGCGUAGAGAUCGGGAGGAAUACCAGUGGCGAAGGCGGCCUUCUGGACUGACACUGACACUGAGGUGCGAAAGCGUGGGUAGCAAACAGGAUUAGAUACCCUAGUAGUC
Molecule: ribosomal RNA, 465 nt
Filed under: Vreelandella stevensii
Lineage: Bacteria; Pseudomonadati; Pseudomonadota; Gammaproteobacteria; Oceanospirillales; Halomonadaceae
Description: partial 16S ribosomal RNA
Rfam family: Bacterial small subunit ribosomal RNA
Source: RNAcentral